RNAcentral lists this ribosomal RNA (467 nucleotides) under uncultured bacterium. RNAcentral describes it as "bacterial SSU rRNA". It matches the Rfam family "Bacterial small subunit ribosomal RNA", at positions 32 to 509 of the family's 1533-position model. The record is from RNAcentral.
AAUCAACGCUGGCGGCGUGCCUCAGACAUGCAAGUCGAACGAUUAAAGCUCUCUUCGGAGAGUGUAUAGAGUGGCGCACGGGUGAGUAACACGUAAGUAAUCUACCCUCGAGUGGGGAAUAACGUCCGGAAACGGACGCUAAUACCGCAUAAUGCAGCGGCACCGCAAGGUGACAGUUGUUAAAGAUUUUAUCGCUUGAGAAGGAGCUUGCGGCAGAUUAGCAGUUGGUAAGGUAAUGGCUUACCAAGGCUACGAUCUGUAACCGGUCUAAGAGGACGGUCGGUCACACUGACACUGAAUAACGGGUCAGACUCCUACGGGAGGCAGCAGUCGGGAAUUUUGGGCAAUGGGCGAAAGCCUGACCCAGCAACGCCGCGUGAAGGAUGAAGUAUUUCGGUAUGUAAACUUCGAAAGAAUGGGAAGAAUCAAUGACGGUACCAUUUAUAAGGUCCGGCUAACUACGUGCC